Long non-coding RNA from Limulus polyphemus (Atlantic horseshoe crab), 332 nucleotides. RefSeq lists it as uncharacterized. The transcript has 3 exons. The record is from RefSeq and is a predicted model, not a curated record. Lineage: Eukaryota; Metazoa; Arthropoda; Merostomata; Xiphosura; Limulidae.
UCUAGCAUUACAUGUGUUUAAAUUUAAUAAUUUGAUAUGUUGAUGUAUUUAUUAGUAGGUGGUAGAAUACUGAAAAUUUAACUUUAAAAACGAGUUACUUAGUUUACACAACACGGUGUAAAGUCAAUGUGCUGGAAAAUGAAUUGUUUUAAGAAAUUAUUUAACAGGGACUUAUACGCUGUUAUUGGAAUGAUACAUGUUAAACCACUUCCUGGGACUCCUAAACAUAGUAAUAAUAUUCAGUAUCUUGUUGACCAUGCUUGUAGUGAGGCAGAAGUAUAUGAACAACUUGGCUUGUUUUAAAUGGAAUAUCCGCUUGUGUAAGUAUUAUU